RNAcentral lists this ribosomal RNA (254 nucleotides) under uncultured bacterium. RNAcentral's name for it is "partial 16S ribosomal RNA". It matches the Rfam family "Bacterial small subunit ribosomal RNA", at positions 524 to 776 of the family's 1533-position model. The record is from RNAcentral.
UACGUAGGGGGCAAGCGUUGUCCGGAUUUAUUGGGCGUAAAGCGCUCGCAGGUGGUUCGUUGCGUCGUGCGUGAAAGACCCCGGCUCAACUGGGGGAUGUCGUGCGAUACGGGCGGACUGGAGGCCAGUAGGGGGAUGCGGAAUUCCGGGUGUAGCGGUGGAAUGCGUAGAGAUCCGGAAGAACACCGGUGGCGAAGGCGGCCUGCUGGGCAGUGGCUGACGCUGAGGCGCGACAGCGUGGGGGAGCAAACAGG